GGAAGGUUGAGAUAAGUCACAGGAAACAAAUGGCCAACCCGGGACCCCGAGCAGAGUCUUCUUCAUGCAUCAUACGUCAGAGCAGGUCACUGUCUUUGAACGCUGUGAAUUCGAGACCACGUCGCAGAAGGCACAACCACCCAUUUGUGUGUGCUGAGGAGAUGCAUAGGUGGCUCAGAUCCUGAUUGGGCUGAUAAUACUGUGCCUGGGUGUGACAAUCAGUCCUUUCCCCCUCUAUGACUAUGAUUCUCAAUUUUGCCUUACCACUGAAAUACGCUAUCACCUAUGGGGACCCUUCUCUGUGAGUAUUAGUGAUUGUUCCAGUGUUUCAAAUUUUUCAAGGGUCUUCAAGACCUUCAUCCUUGUCUCUCAAAAUCCCAUGCACUGCUGUUUAGGUCCUAAUCUUGGGCUGACUGGGUAGAUAAUACUGGCAGGGGAGUGGGGGAAAUCAGGUGGAUGGGACAAGCUCUGAGUGGGUUUUCUCUCUCUGGUCAGUUCUUCAUAUCUGGAGCGCUGUCCAUUGCUGCCGGAAGGAAAGUAACCAAGGGUUUGGUAAGUGUUUCCUUGCGGAGGCUCGGAUAGGUCUAGUGAAGUAAGGAGCUGUUCAGCUACGAGGCUAAGGCAUCUGCA
RNAcentral lists this long non-coding RNA (630 nucleotides) under Felis catus (domestic cat). RNAcentral describes it as "lncRNA (ENSFCAG00000050505.1)". The record is from RNAcentral. Lineage: Eukaryota; Metazoa; Chordata; Mammalia; Carnivora; Felidae.